UACAGAGACCUCAAGCGUUAUCCGGAUUUACUGGGCGUAAAGGGUGAGUAGCUGGCAUUACUAGUCUAAUGUUAAAUCUCGCAGCUUAACUGUGAGACCGCGUUAGAAACGGUAGAGCUAGAGCAGGUCAGAGGCAAGCGGAACGUGCGGUGUAGGGGUGAAAUUCGUUGAUAUCGCACGGAACACCAAAAGCGAAGGCAGCUUGCUGGGACCUUGCUGACAGUCAAUCACGAAAGCGUGGGGAUCAAAAAGG
Molecule: unclassified non-coding RNA, 253 nt
Filed under: uncultured Parcubacteria group bacterium
Lineage: Bacteria
Description: contains 16S-23S intergenic spacer region
Rfam family: Bacterial small subunit ribosomal RNA
Source: RNAcentral